UACGGGGGGGGCAAGCGUUGUUCGGAAUUACUGGGCGUAAAGGGCUCGUAGGCGGCCAACUAAGUCAGACGUGAAAUCCCCAGGCUCAACCUGGGAACUGCGUCUGAUACUGGAUGGCUUGAAUUCGGGAGAGGGAUGCAGAAUUCCAGGUGUAGCGGUGAAAUGCGUAGAUAUCGGGAGGAACACCUGUGGCGAAGGCGGCCCCCUGGUUGGAUACUGACGCUGAUACGCGAAAGCGUGGGGAGCAAACAGG
Molecule: ribosomal RNA, 253 nt
Filed under: uncultured bacterium
Lineage: Bacteria
Description: partial 16S ribosomal RNA
Rfam family: Bacterial small subunit ribosomal RNA
Source: RNAcentral